UUAUUGGACAAUGGGGGCAACCCUGAUCCAGCCAUGCCGCGUGUGUGAAGAAGGUCUUCGGCUUGUAAAGCUCUUUAAGUCGGGAGGAAGGUCUUUAGGCUAAUACCCUGCAGUUUUGACGGUACCAACAGAGUAAGCACCGGCUAACUCUGUGCCAGCAGCCGCGGUAAAACAGAGGGUGCAAGCGUUAAUCGGAAUUACUGGGCGUAAAGCGCGCGUAGGUGGUUCAGUAAGAUGGGUGUGAAAUCCCCGGGCUUAACCUGGGAACUGCUUUCAUAACUGCUGAGCUAGAGUACGGUAGAGGGUAGUGGAAUUUCCUGUGUAGCGGUGAAAUGCGUAGGUAUAGGAAGGAACACCAGUGGCGAAGGCGACUACCUGGACUGAUACUGACACUGAGGUGCGAAAGCGUGGGGAGCAAAC
This 420-nucleotide ribosomal RNA is filed under the name uncultured bacterium. RNAcentral describes it as "partial 16S ribosomal RNA". It matches the Rfam family "Bacterial small subunit ribosomal RNA", at positions 359 to 773 of the family's 1533-position model. The record is from RNAcentral.